This is a non-coding RNA of Rattus norvegicus (Norway rat), 2931 nucleotides long. Lineage: Eukaryota; Metazoa; Chordata; Mammalia; Rodentia; Muridae. The record is from RefSeq and is a predicted model, not a curated record.
GUAAAGAAACUGAGCUCACAAUACUCUUGUUUUCUUGGAGUGUUCUCACAAGUUCUCAGAAUUCUAGCAAACUCCAUUCCUGGACCAUGUUCCAACAGUAUCGAGUACUACAGAUUAAAGGAGCUCAAGUUGAUAUUUAUAAAGUUAAUUUGAGUUGUCUGAGACAUCUCAGUAUUUUAGGAGAAUUUGUCCACCAGAUAUUUUAACUUUGCUGUAAAUGGAGUAUAUUAAGAUUUUAAACAAGGUUUGAGUUUCGGAGCCUGGAGUAACUUUCCUUCCUGGACACUUCACGCCGGUUUGACAACCCUGCACAAAGGUCACCAGCUGGGCAUAGCUCCUAGGCGUUCUGGUCAGGAAGAUCAUUGUUCCUGCUGACUGAGUACCUGAUCCUCCGAAAGAUUCCUGUGGCGUCAAAAUCUCAUUGCUUUUAGUAAUCGGAAGGAGAACCUGCCAACAGACAAAGGAAUAUGUGACUCUAAUUAGCAAAAUCUGCCAAGGAAGAUUCUAAUCUCUUCUGAUGAUUCAUCUGGGUCUCGGCCCUGCUGCUGACAAGAAGAAACACAACUCAAGGAAAUUGAACCUCGUGUUUUGCACAUGCUAACUGAGUAGUCUACCACAGCGUCUUGGCCCAAGACUUGGAUUUUAUUUUAUACUAUUUUAUUUUAAAAUAAGGGCACUAAUCUCUUUCCUAGGAACUCCAUUUUUCAUGCUCUGUUCAUUCUCCAAGCCCUGCCUCUUUUUUCCGUCACCCUGGGGAAUAGAAUGCCAGCGACUAUGUUUUAGAGGAAUAGCCACAGGUACUCGGUUCACAGCAAUGCAGAGGCUGGCGUCCUCUCAUUAACCCUUGAAAGGAGCCAGGUUAGACAGGGGAGCCGUUUACAGUUGGCAUUACCUAGAGCUACUCCCAUAGUGUGGGCAAGCAUACCUCAUGUGACAAAAUUGGAGAUGCUACGUUUUAACGGCAGCGUGAAAAAGAAAAAAAAAAAAGAAAAAAAGCAGUGAAAAGUUACUCAAGGGUUAACAGCCGAAUAUCAAAUUAGACAAUUUGAUGAAAAAGAACCAAAAUAAGCCCGCUGCAGUUUCCACUAAAAUAUUGAACUCUUGCCCCAGACUAAAAAUAAUUUUUAAAAGGAUCUCAACCUCCCCGGGAGUCUUUUGGAUUUAAUAAUAAAGAAAGAAGAAGAAACAAAGAGAAAAGACAGACGGUUCUUGCUUAACUGUCUUUCUGGGAAAGUGUUGACUUCUCCUUUGUCCCCAGGGAGCCACAGAGGCCGCAGCACCUCUGCUGUUCUGGCAGAAAGUCGCACACAAAUGAUGGCUUCUAGCCUGGCAGAGACAGUCUCCUCUCUUCUUUAUUCCCUGAUGAGCCUUUAAAAACAAUCUUCCCACUGUGAUUCUCCUGUGUCCCACACGCCACACCCCAUGUUUGUUCUUUCUGUGUCACGGUUUUCCGAUGUUUUACCGUGUUAGCAAAUCAGAAUGAGGGCUUAUUUUAAACUCUUCAGAGACUGAUGAAAAGGUCUCUAAUUCUUAGACUGUAGAUAAAGGUACUAAAAUAUUAUAAGAAUAACUUUGCCCAGGGUAAAUAUAUGUGGUGCAUCCUGUGCGUUAAACAGUUAGGACCAAUCAAAGCUCCAAGACCUAAGAUUUUACAAUGAGUAAAGUGAUACUUAUAGACAAUACUAUAGAUAUGUUAAGUACAGGGAAAACUUGAUUUUCCUUCAAAGAUAUUAUAAAGUAAUGAAUAGGAUAGAACCAACAUAUUUAAGAGGAAAAUGUAGGCUAGCUUAUUAGUCUAAAGAGCGUCUUCCUUCUGUCCACCCUCCCCAACCAGUUCAUCAAUAGAUUCCUCGAUUCUAUGAAAUAAGUUGUAAAUCUUUUCCAUUAUAAAACAUGAAACCAAGAGAGAAUGGGAGAUCCUUGGGAGGACCCAGAAGAUGCAUGAUUCUUAUUUCUAAACUGUUCAGGGUAACAGGAUGAACAGACGAGACCGUGACAGUCUAGAGCACAUGGCAAGAGGUCCAUGGAACUCCUGUGAGCUUGAAUGUGCUCUUCCACAAAUUCAGGUACUUGAGCGUAAUAGACCAGAUGAUAUUGUUAAGACAGGGGACCGUGAAGAGAUGAGGCCUCUUCUUCUCUGAAGGGAGCCAAAGGUUUUAAGCAUGUGGCUCAGAUUGUUGCUUGAGAAGGGGAAACAAAGAAGCAAGAAUAGUAAGUGUUCAGUCUUGAGAUGUGAACGUUAUCACCCAGCAGCAGCAGCAGCAGCAGCAGCAGCAGCAGGGCACCUGAUGUCAUAAAGGGGAGGCCAGAGCAUCAUUGCUCUGACCAGGCCAUUCCUCAGGGUCAUAUUGGUGCUGAUUCUGGAUAUCCAGCCGUUGACAGGAUGGAGACAUAGAUCAGGCGGAGAUCAGUCUGAAGCCAAAGAGGUUUGAGACCCAAGGAGAACAAGUGUCCAGCUGGAGUCUCAAAGGAAAAAACCAAUAUCCCAAGUUUCCCCUCCGCAAACCCUCUACCCCGUCUCCCCUCCCCCUUGCUUCUAUGAUGGUGCUCGCUCGCCCACCCGGACUCCUGCCUCACCACCCCUAGCAUUUCCCUACGCUGGGGCGUCGAGCCUUCGCUUGGGAGUUUUAAGUCACACGCAGAAAGAACAUCGUGGAGAUUUGUGGACAUACAUCAUGAAAAGAACAGGAUGGAAGCCAGUAGCACGGUUGGCGGCAAGUCGCAGGAGUCCUGGUGACCUGGAAUGGACACCAGGGUGCUCCUUAAGGACUUUUUGUCUCAGCUCUUCCGGAUGGAGAAACAUAGCAGAGGCAGAUUGCUGAAAGCAGUUCAUCUUGUCCUUCGGCAAAAAACAGUUUGUAUUAAUUCAAGGGCACCAGGCGCCAGAGCCGCCAUGUAAACGCUUGAAUAAACACUUCCCUUUCCAAGCAA